This 345-nucleotide unclassified non-coding RNA is filed under the name soil metagenome. RNAcentral describes it as "partial contains 5.8S ribosomal RNA, internal transcribed spacer 2, and large subunit ribosomal RNA". The stretch from base 1 to 120 matches the Rfam family "5.8S ribosomal RNA", at positions 35 to 154 of the family's 154-position model. The record is from RNAcentral.
GAUGAAGAACGCAGCGAAAUGCGAUAAGUAAUGUGGAUUGCAGAAUUCAGUGAAUCAUCGAAUCUUUGAACGCACAUUGCGCCCGCCAGUAUUCUGGCGGGCAUGCCUGUCCGAGCGUCAUUUCAACCCUCAAGCCCCCGGGCUUGGUGUUGGAGAUCGGCGAGCCCCCCGGGGCGCGCCGUCUCCCAAAUAUAGUGGCGGUCCCGCUGUAGCUUCCUCUGCGUAGUAGCACACCUCGCACUGGGAAACAGCGUGGCCACGCCGUAAAACCCCCCACUUCUGAAAGGUUGACCUCGGAUCAGGUAGGAAUACCCGCUGAACUUAAGCAUAUCAAUAAGCGGAGGA